Diachasmimorpha longicaudata is the source of this 1051-nucleotide long non-coding RNA. RefSeq lists it as uncharacterized. The transcript has 2 exons. The record is from RefSeq and is a predicted model, not a curated record. Lineage: Eukaryota; Metazoa; Arthropoda; Insecta; Hymenoptera; Braconidae.
CACUUUUUGCACUAAAUAAUAAUUAAGUCCCAUUUUACUUUGUCUGUCGGGAAAAAUCAUGUUGCCUUUUUUUUAUCAUUUAUUUAAUGUUUAAAAAUUAAUGAGAAACUACUCACACAUUUUAUGCUUAGGAGAAACACCUACUGACCUACUAGAAACCAUAGAAUUAGUUCAUUUUACAAAUAGAUAUCAUCUGUCGGCUAUCUGCAUACGAAUAGAAAAAAGACGUUGCAAUUCAAAUUUUCUGGUGGAAUACAUUUCCAUAGGGUAGCUAUGCAACAAUCAUGUUUAUCAAACAGAAAUAUCUCAAAGCUCCUCGUUACGCUACAAAACUCAUGUAAAAUACUCUCCAUAGCACUAUCAAUCAUCGAUUCCCUCAAUAUUCCUACAUCACAUUGAUUUAUGACGAUAAAUAUUUUUUUAUAAAAAUAAAAAUUCCUUUAACGUAACAAACUUUCUUAAGUCUGUGAAUUACAUAUAAAGUGUAAUGGCUCCUACGAUCAACCAUAACGAAACUCCGUCGAACAUAACUAACAACCCAUCACAAUUAUUUCCCAUGAAAUCGAAGGACACAUCGUCGAAAUUUCCAGAAGGAAAACGCAGAAGAUUUUUAAGGGAACUAUUAUUCCUCGAGGCAUUGAAAAAAUUUCUUCCCCACCCGAUGGAUGAGCCCAUGAGUUACGAACCCACUUCGUCAGAAUACGUCGACGAAUAUUGUCUGGGUGAUUUUGUUCCUUUUCUGGAGAAGAAUGAAAUCCUCACAGAGAUUCAAGUGAAUUAUCCUCUGUACGGUGGGAGCAUCAACAAGACCAUUUACAAUGAGAAGAUCUCCGCAGAAAUCCUGAAAAGACGUUCAACAAUUCCCAAUCUUCACGAGCCAUUCCGGAGAAAUUGCAGUUUUACAACCCCUGUUGCAGAUCGCUUGACAGAAUAAAAUUUCCAAUUGUCUCAUUCUCUUUAAUAUUCUAAUGAAACUUUAUUGCAUACGCUUUUUUACAUAGAAUAUACCUAUCAGGAUUUAUGACAAUAUAUGCAAAGAGUAAAUGAUAAA